UACGGGGGGGGCAAGCGUUGUUCGGAAUUAUUGGGCGUAAAGGGCGCGUAGGCGGCCUUCUAAGUCGGACGUGAAAUCCCUCGGCUUAACCGAGGAACUGCGUCCGAUACUGAAAGGCUUGAGUCCGGGAGAGGGAUGUGGAAUUCCAGGUGUAGCGGUGAAAUGCGUAGAUAUCUGGAGGAACACCGGUGGCGAAGGCAGCAUCCUGGACCGGCAUUGACGCUGAGGCGCGAAAGCUAGGGGAGCAAACGGG
Molecule: ribosomal RNA, 253 nt
Filed under: uncultured bacterium
Lineage: Bacteria
Description: partial 16S ribosomal RNA
Rfam family: Bacterial small subunit ribosomal RNA
Source: RNAcentral